This 2928-nucleotide ribosomal RNA is filed under the name Salmonella enterica. Its description in RNAcentral is "23S ribosomal RNA". It matches the Rfam family "Bacterial large subunit ribosomal RNA". Lineage: Bacteria; Pseudomonadati; Pseudomonadota; Gammaproteobacteria; Enterobacterales; Enterobacteriaceae. The record is from RNAcentral.
GGGUUGUGAGGUUAAGCGACUAAGCGUACACGGUGGAUGCCCUGGCAGUCAGAGGCGAUGAAGGGCGUGCUAAUCUGCGAUAAGCGCCGGUAAGGUGAUAUGAACCGUUAUAACCGGCGAUACCCGAAUGGGGAAACCCAGUGUGACUCGUCACACUAUCAUUAACUGAAUCCAUAGGUUAAUGAGGCGAACCGGGGGAACUGAAACAUCUAAGUACCCCGAGGAAAAGAAAUCAACCGAGAUUCCCCCAGUAGCGGCGAGCGAACGGGGAGGAGCCCAGAGCCUGAAUCAGCAUGUGUGUUAGUGGAAGCGUCUGGAAAGGCGCGCGAUACAGGGUGACAGCCCCGUACACAAAAGCGCAUGUGCUGUGAGCUCGAUGAGUAGGGCGGGACACGUGGUAUCCUGUCUGAAUAUGGGGGGACCAUCCUCCAAGGCUAAAUACUCCUGACUGACCGAUAGUGAACCAGUACCGUGAGGGAAAGGCGAAAAGAACCCCGGCGAGGGGAGUGAAAAAGAACCUGAAACCGUGUACGUACAAGCAGUGGGAGCACAGGUUUACCUGUGUGACUGCGUACCUUUUGUAUAAUGGGUCAGCGACUUAUAUUCUGUAGCAAGGUUAACCGAAUAGGGGAGCCGGAGGGAAACCGAGUCUUAACUGGGCGUUAAGUUGCAGGGUAUAGACCCGAAACCCGGUGAUCUAGCCAUGGGCAGGUUGAAGGUUGGGUAACACUAACUGGAGGACCGAACCGACUAAUGUUGAAAAAUUAGCGGAUGACCUGUGGCUGGGGGUGAAAGGCCAAUCAAACCGGGAGAUAGCUGGUUCUCCCCGAAAGCUAUUUAGGUAGCGCCUCGUGAACUCAUCUCCGGGGGUAGAGCACUGUUUCGGCUAGGGGGCCAUCCCGGCUUACCAACCCGAUGCAAACUGCGAAUACCGGAGAAUGUUAUCACGGGAGACACACGGCGGGUGCUAACGUCCGUCGUGAAGAGGGAAACAACCCAGACCGCCAGCUAAGGUCCCAAAGUCAUGGUUAAGUGGGAAACGAUGUGGGAAGGCCCAGACAGCCAGGAUGUUGGCUUAGAAGCAGCCAUCAUUUAAAGAAAGCGUAAUAGCUCACUGGUCGAGUCGGCCUGCGCGGAAGAUGUAACGGGGCUAAACCAUGCACCGAAGCUGCGGCAGCGACACUGUGUGUUGUUGGGUAGGGGAGCGUUCUGUAAGCCUGCGAAGGUGGCCUGUGAGGGUUGCUGGAGGUAUCAGAAGUGCGAAUGCUGACAUAAGUAACGAUAAAGCGGGUGAAAAGCCCGCUCGCCGGAAGACCAAGGGUUCCUGUCCAACGUUAAUCGGGGCAGGGUGAGUCGACCCCUAAGGCGAGGCCGAAAGGCGUAGUCGAUGGGAAACGGGUUAAUAUUCCCGUACUUGGUGUUACUGCGAAGGGGGGACGGAGAAGGCUAUGUUGGCCGGGCGACGGUUGUCCCGGUUUAAGCGUGUAGGUGUGUGUUCCAGGUAAAUCCGGUUCACUUUAACACUGAGGCGUGACGACGAGGCACUACGGUGCUGAAGCAACAAAUGCCCUGCUUCCAGGAAAAGCCUCUAAGCAUCAGGUAACAUCAAAUCGUACCCCAAACCGACACAGGUGGUCAGGUAGAGAAUACCAAGGCGCUUGAGAGAACUCGGGUGAAGGAACUAGGCAAAAUGGUGCCGUAACUUCGGGAGAAGGCACGCUGACACGUAGGUGAAGUGAUUUACUCAUGGAGCUGAAGUCAGUCGAAGAUACCAGCUGGCUGCAACUGUUUAUUAAAAACACAGCACUGUGCAAACACGAAAGUGGACGUAUACGGUGUGACGCCUGCCCGGUGCCGGAAGGUUAAUUGAUGGGGUCAGCGCAAGCGAAGCUCCUGAUCGAAGCCCCGGUAAACGGCGGCCGUAACUAUAACGGUCCUAAGGUAGCGAAAUUCCUUGUCGGGUAAGUUCCGACCUGCACGAAUGGCGUAAUGAUGGCCAGGCUGUCUCCACCCGAGACUCAGUGAAAUUGAACUCGCUGUGAAGAUGCAGUGUACCCGCGGCAAGACGGAAAGACCCCGUGAACCUUUACUAUAGCUUGACACUGAACAUUGAGCCUUGAUGUGUAGGAUAGGUGGGAGGCUUUGAAGUGUGGACGCCAGUCUGCAUGGAGCCGACCUUGAAAUACCACCCUUUAAUGUUUGAUGUUCUAACGUGGACCCGUUACCCGGGUUGCGGACAGUGUCUGGUGGGUAGUUUGACUGGGGCGGUCUCCUCCUAAAGAGUAACGGAGGAGCACGAAGGUUGGCUAAUCCUGGUCGGACAUCAGGAGGUUAGUGCAAUGGCAUAAGCCAGCUUGACUGCGAGCGUGACGGCGCGAGCAGGUGCGAAAGCAGGUCAUAGUGAUCCGGUGGUUCUGAAUGGAAGGGCCAUCGCUCAACGGAUAAAAGGUACUCCGGGGAUAACAGGCUGAUACCGCCCAAGAGUUCAUAUCGACGGCGGUGUUUGGCACCUCGAUGUCGGCUCAUCACAUCCUGGGGCUGAAGUAGGUCCCAAGGGUAUGGCUGUUCGCCAUUUAAAGUGGUACGCGAGCUGGGUUUAGAACGUCGUGAGACAGUUCGGUACCUAUCUGCCGUGGGCGCUGGAGAACUGAGGGGGGCUGCUCCUAGUACGAGAGGACCGGAGUGGACGCAUCACUGGUGUUCGGGUUGUCAUGCCAAUGGCACUGCCCGGUAGCUAAAUGCGGAAGAGAUAAGUGCUGAAAGCAUCUAAGCACGAAACUUGCCCCGAGAUGAGUUCUCCCUGAGACUUAGAGUCUCCUGAAGGAACGUUGAAGACGACGACGUUGAUAGGCCGGGUGUGUAAGCGCAGCGAUGCGUUGAGCUAACCGGUACUAAUGAACCGUGAGGCUUAACCUUACAACGCCGAAG